Non-coding RNA from Nicotiana tabacum (common tobacco), 109 nucleotides. The record is from RefSeq and is a predicted model, not a curated record. Lineage: Eukaryota; Viridiplantae; Streptophyta; Magnoliopsida; Solanales; Solanaceae.
UUGGAGAGAAUUUCAAGGGGGAUUUCAUCAAGCAUCAAAGAUUCGACGCGCGAAGAGGUCGAUUCAAGAGGAAAGGGCAUUGCGGACUAGUCUACGGCCGGUCAGAGGU